CUUAUUCUGCCAGGCUCUGUGCAGAACUCUCUUCCAAGGAUGCGGGCUACUGAGACUUGGGUUCCUACUACUUAGAACCAAAGGAGUUCUGACUCCCACACCAGGAAUUACAUGAAAUAGACUUGAUCGGAUUCCUGUGUCCUUUGCAAGAACCAGUAGCAAUACUGCAAAUGGCCAAAUAUAUCUGUGUUUCGUGAAGUCAUGUGUUUUCUAUAUCCCAGUCUACGGGAGUACAAAUUUGCGUAUCUGAUGCAUCUUAUCCUGAUGAAGUCUGGCAUGCAACACUGUCCCAGAAGCAGCGAAACAGCCUCAGAAACAAGUGUUCCUGUGACAAAGCUCCCACGCAUUUUCAUCAGUGAGUCAACGUAUGAAGCAUAAGAACAAUUUGAUUACAAUAAUGUGGCGCAACACAACAUACAGCUUGUUGUUCAAACACAUUUGAAUUGUUAUUUUUGUGUCCAUGUCAGAUUAGUUUUUUGUAUAUUCAUUCCAAAUUAUUGAUCACACCAAAAUUCACGUAUGAUGAGGAGGUAACAGUGGAAGCAAAACACAUAAAAGUGAGAGAAAGAAGAUGG
RNAcentral lists this long non-coding RNA (575 nucleotides) under Equus caballus (horse). RNAcentral describes it as "lncRNA (ENSECAG00000056433.1)". Lineage: Eukaryota; Metazoa; Chordata; Mammalia; Perissodactyla; Equidae. The record is from RNAcentral.